Long non-coding RNA from Onychostoma macrolepis, 718 nucleotides. RefSeq lists it as uncharacterized. The record is from RefSeq and is a predicted model, not a curated record. NCBI's taxonomy places the organism in Eukaryota, Metazoa, Chordata, Actinopteri, Cypriniformes, Cyprinidae. The transcript is spliced from 3 exons.
CAACUGUGUCACAAUCAUACAGUGCUGGAGUUUAUUUAUCAGAAUCAAACACAAUAUCAGAUUAUUAUUAUCAUAUCUGGUCUGAUGAACGGACUUCUGCUCAUUCUGCUGAUCCUUUCUGCUUUUGGAAAAACAGAACGGCUGGAAAAACACAUUCAUGCUGAUCUGCAGACAAACGUUACAUAUCAGCUUCAAGACACAGAACUAUUACAAGCACAAUAAGUGCGCCGAGGGGACUUUUCUAUAAAAAUAGUCAAGUCAACAGCAUCUGUGUAUGAUUAUAUAACAUGUUCUUGGAUAUGAUGUGGAUUUUCCUGAAGAAUAAAUAGUUUUACAAAAUCAAGAGUACAAAAUCAACUGGGGCUAGUUGUCACACUUUUCUAGUAAAAAAUAUUAUUUAGAGCAUUGUUUAGAAAUAAAACUUGAUGACUUGCAUACACAAACUAUAAAACUAAACACUGAAUAACAUUUAAUAUUUCCAGCAUUAGCAGCCAGAGAAAAGACAGUUUAGGAGUUUAAACAGAUCGGCUACGCAUUAAGCAUCAUUGUCAGACUAAUUGGUAAAUAUUACUUUAGUUAACAAGUCUGAUGGUUUUUUUUAUAUUUAUUUAUUUUUUUUUGUAACAAGUUCAUUUGCAUUUAGCCUUUAAAAGGUUUUUGUAUGUAACAAUAAAUUAACAAUAAAUUAAAGCGGUCAAAGGCUGCUAGAUGUUUAAUA